AAGUGUUACAGCUCUUUUAGAAUUCGUCUAGUAGGUUUUCCAGUGACCAGAAAAUCCUC
Small nuclear RNA from Homo sapiens (human), 59 nucleotides. NCBI's taxonomy places the organism in Eukaryota, Metazoa, Chordata, Mammalia, Primates, Hominidae. The record is from Ensembl.